RNAcentral lists this ribosomal RNA (366 nucleotides) under uncultured eukaryote. Its description in RNAcentral is "partial 18S ribosomal RNA". It matches the Rfam family "Eukaryotic small subunit ribosomal RNA", at positions 592 to 976 of the family's 1831-position model. The record is from RNAcentral.
CAAUAGCGUAUAUUAACGUUGUUGCAGUUAAAAAGCUCGUAGUUGGAUUUCUGGAGGGAGCGUCGGCCCGUAUUUACGAGUGCGUGACGUCUCUGUCCAUCCUUGCGGGAAGGCACGGCAUUGAUUUGUUGUGUCGGAUCGCAUCAUUUACUGUGAAAAAAUUAGAGUGUUCAAAGCAGGCUUUCGCUUGAAUACAUUAGCAUGGAAUAAUAAGAUAGGACUUUGGUGCUAUUUUGUUGGUUGAGCCUAAAGUAAUGAUUAAUAGGGAUAGUUGGGGGCACCUGUAUUGCGUUGUCAGAGGUGAAAUUCUUGGAUUUACGCAAGACAAACAGCUGCGAAAGCGUCUGCCAAGGGUGUUUUCAUUAA